GAUCAUGGUCAGGACGAACGCUGGCGGCGUGCUUAACACAUGCAAGUCGAACGGAAAGGCCUAAGCUUGCUUGGGUACUCGAGUGGCGAACGGGUGAGUAACACGUGAGUGAUCUGCCCUCAACUUCGGGAUAAGCCUGGGAAACUGGGUCUAAUACUGGAUAGGACCAUCCUUUAGUGUGUGAUGGUGGAAAGUUUUUUCGGUUGGGGAUGAGCUCGCGGCCUAUCAGCUUGUUGGUGGGGUAAUGG
RNAcentral lists this ribosomal RNA (248 nucleotides) under uncultured bacterium. RNAcentral's name for it is "partial 16S ribosomal RNA". It matches the Rfam family "Bacterial small subunit ribosomal RNA", at positions 15 to 263 of the family's 1533-position model. The record is from RNAcentral.